CAUUCUCUCUCUUAACCUUAAUUACUCGAUCAAAGCUUCACGGAUCGUCUCUUCAUUUCUGCGACGGCGAUGCAUGACGAGGCUUUGUGUUUUCUCAUGAAACCCAGGCUGAUAACAAGUGACCUAACCCUCUCAACCCGCGUGUCUUCAUCCCAUUCUUUGUUGUCCGCCGUUCGAAAGCUGCAGUCUACAUGACGAAUCAACUCGAUGGGUUUCGAUUGCGUCGUUUGAUUGUCACUACGAUCAACAUACAUGAUUUCUUCCUCCUAUUGCAAUGGGAAAUCAAAAACGUACCUUGCUUUCAGACGGUGCAUCUACAUAUAUAAAUAGAACACAAUAACAAACUCCUCUCGCUAUGAGCUAUCGCCUAUGAGAGGAAGCCUGGAUGAAAGACAAUCGUCGGAAACGAUAUCGGCACAAUAGGAGGAAAGCUGCGACAGAAGAAAGGAGGAGGAAGAGAAAGCCAUUGAUGGUGGUGAAGAGGAUAGAGAGAAGAGAUCAUUAAUGGAGAGUGGGACAAAGCUAAGGCCAGGAUACAUGGUGAUAAACAAUGGCAUGAUUCAUUAUCAAUCAAAGAUAAUGUAAGGAUCCUGAUACCAUGAACUGGUUUCGGUUUCAUCAGGCUCCUUUACAUAUCUCAUGCUGCUAUUGAGGGAAUGGCCGGAUAAUACCUCCGUAAUUUACAAAUGACAGUCUCUUAAGCUUACAAGAAAGACACCGACGGCGAGCACCUACAAGUCAGUAAUCAUAUGUGCAACCUCUACAAUGUUUAAAUGCAUUGGUCUUCCAAAACCAAACCUGAAUAGUGAAUACUCACAACGUCUAAGCACAU
Long non-coding RNA from Brassica oleracea var. oleracea, 832 nucleotides. RefSeq lists it as uncharacterized. The record is from RefSeq and is a predicted model, not a curated record. NCBI's taxonomy places the organism in Eukaryota, Viridiplantae, Streptophyta, Magnoliopsida, Brassicales, Brassicaceae. The transcript has 4 exons.